UACGUAGGGACCAAGCGUUGUUCGGAAUUACUGGGCGUAAAGGGCGCGUAGGCGGAUAGUUUAGUUGGGGGUGAAAGCCCGGGGCUCAACCUCGGAACUGCCUUCAAUACUGGCUAUCUUGAGUACGGGAGAGGUGUGUGGAACUCCGAGUGUAGAGGUGAAAUUCGUAGAUAUUCGGAAGAACACCAGUGGCGAAGGCGACACACUGGCCCGUUACUGACGCUGAGGCGCGAAAGCGUGGGGAGCAAACAGG
Molecule: ribosomal RNA, 253 nt
Filed under: uncultured bacterium
Lineage: Bacteria
Description: partial 16S ribosomal RNA
Rfam family: Bacterial small subunit ribosomal RNA
Source: RNAcentral